CCCGGUGAUCUAGCCAUGGGCAGGUUGAAGGUUGGGUAACACUAACUGGAGGACCGAACCGACUAAUGUUGAAAAAUUAGCGGAUGACCUGUGGCUGGGGGUGAAAGGCCAAUCAAACCGGGAGAUAGCUGGUUCUCCCCGAAAGCUAUUUAGGUAGCGCCUCGUGAAUUCAUCUCCGGGGGUAGAGCACUGUUUCGGCUAGGGGGCCAUCCCGGCUUACCAACCCGAUGCAAACUGCGAAUACCGGAGAAUGUUAUCACGGGAGACACACGGCGGGUGCUAACGUCCGUCGUGAAGAGGGAAACAACCCAGACCGCCAGCUAAGGUCCCAAAGUCAUGGUUAAGUGGGAAACGAUGUGGGAAGGCCCAGACAGCCAGGAUGUUGGCUUAGAAGCAGCCAUCAUUUAAAGAAAGCGUAAUAGCUCACUGGUCGAGUCGGCCUGCGCGGAAGAUGUAACGGGGCUAAACCAUGCACCGAAGCUGCGGCAGCGACACUGUGUGUUGUUGGGUAGGGGAGCGU
RNAcentral lists this ribosomal RNA (520 nucleotides) under Salmonella enterica subsp. enterica serovar Enteritidis. Its description in RNAcentral is "partial 23S ribosomal RNA". It matches the Rfam family "Bacterial large subunit ribosomal RNA", at positions 721 to 1239 of the family's 2925-position model. Lineage: Bacteria; Pseudomonadati; Pseudomonadota; Gammaproteobacteria; Enterobacterales; Enterobacteriaceae. The record is from RNAcentral.